ACAAGUUCAACCAACAUUAUUCCAGAAACAUAAUCAUCCUAACAUGCUUCUAAAUUCCAUUCUAACACCCUAACAAAUCCUACAAUAAUCUAAAACACCAAUGAACGCCUAGAUCAUCCUCCUCUCCACGCCAUGAUUCCACGGAUCACACCUUGCUUUUACCUGCAUCAAAGAAAGAGAUGCAUAAGUAUUUUAUAAAUACUUAGUGAGGCAAUCAUCCCACCACUGGCUAUACACACAAGCAGAAAUGAACACAUUCAAGUAUUAACUCAAACAACCACCAAAAUAACACAAAACAACACAACAUGACCCGUUCUGACGAGUAGUGUCGAUCGACACCAUCAGCAGGUGUCGCUCAACACUCGCGACCAUCCUCGCGAGAAAGAAAGUUGGUGUCGAUCGACACCCUCCAUUGGUGUCGAGCGACACCGAAACCCUAACAUCGCUCCAGCCGCUUCUCAUCAACGGAUCCACCAACUCCAGUACUCCAUGUCUGAUUUAUCACCUCCUCAUAAUCGUACCAAGACAUCAUACCACAUAAACAAGCAUACAAACACAUAAAUCAAUCAUCAAUCAGAGGAAACACUCAAAAUAUGCAUCAAAACUGAUUAGAUCAGCCUAGUCAUGCACUCACCUUUCAAAAGGACUGUAACAAAGACGAACAAAUCACAACAACAGCAACCAAGGACUCUCCUAACACCACAGCUACGAGAUCUCUCUUCCCCAGGACAGAAACACCAAGAACAAGCCUCUAAACACUCUCAAACCUCACAAAACCUCUCUAGAGAACUUAGAAACUUUAGAGAAGAAACAAAAGCGGCUGCCCUCACCCUAGGUCGACCUUUUCCUCUCUUAAACGCAACUUAGGUUAAACCAACCAAUAACCACACGAUUUUGCAAUUAAAAACGAACCGAUCAAACCGAAAUACGCUGGUGUCGAGCGACAUCCUUUAGUGGUGUCGAUCGACACCCCCCAAACACGGGCGUUACACUAACGUUCACAUCCUAAUUUACUACAAUGCAUGCAUAAUAGGGAUAAUAAUAACAGUCUGAAAAAUAUUUUCUAUAGUUAAAAGUUUUCAACCUAAUAUAUCUUUCAUAAAAAAUUAUAUGUUAUUUUUAAUAAUCUACAAUGUACAUUUUAGAGUUGUUUACUUUUACCAUAUUUUGUCCGCAGUUUUUUAGGGUUAUCAUAAUUUCUUUUGUUUCAAUAGUUGUAUCCUUUGCAAAGAGUUGUGUCUAUUUAAAUGAUCAUGUCCUUUGAUCUCUAUAUAUUUCCUCUCUUCUUAGAAAAUUACCAAUCUAAUGCUCUUUGCCACCAAUGUUUCAUUUUAUGAUAUUUAAAUUUUAUCCAACGUUAUUUAAACCCUAUAUACAGUAUCUAAUUUUGUUUUUUUCUAUCUCUCAUCUUAACUUACAAGGGUCUUUAAAUAGUUUUAGAAGUUCACAAGGGUCUUUAAAAGGUUUUUAAAGAAUUUACAAUGGUUUUUAAAGGGGUUCAGAAGUUUAUAAGGAUUUUUAAAGGGUUUACAAGGGUUUUUAAAAGAUUUUUAAACCCUUUUCAAAAAUUUACAAUGAUUUUUAAAUGGUUCUGAAAAUAUAUACAAGGUUUUAAAUGGUUUUUGAAGUUAAUAAGUGGUUUUUAAAGAUUUACAAGGAUUUUAAAAAGAAUUUUAUAAAUUUUAUAAGUGUUUUAAAGGGAUUUCUAAGUGUUUAUAAAUGUUAUAAAAUGAUUUACAAUGGUUUUAAAAGGUUUAUUAAAAAUUUUAAAGGUUUUGGAUGACUGUUAAAAGAUUUACAAUUGAUUUUAAAGGAUUUUUAAAAUAUUUACAAAGUUUUUUAAAGAAUUGCGGAUUUGGCGGAAAAUUUUGGCGGAAAUUUUUACAAGCUCGACUUUAGAUUAUCCAAUGGCUGACCAUGUUUUACAAGCUCAGAUUUUAACAGGAACAAGAGUUGGGAAAAUUUUUCUAAUACCCAGGAUGUUAAUUACACCAUCAGAAUCGAGAUUACCUUUCAAAAUGCGAAGAAGACAAUUUCCGGUUUCUGUCGCUUUUGCUAUGACUAUCAACAAGAGUCAAGGGCAAUAGCUGUCUUGUGUUCGUAUAUACUUGCCUAGACCGGUUUUUCCACAUGGGAAUUGUCAAGGGUGAAAUAAAUAGCAGUGCUUAUUACAGACGCAAAAGGAAAACCACCAUCGAAAACAAUGAAUGCGGUAUUCAAGAGGCUUUGGAAACCUCUGUUAGCAAAAUUCAUUGGUAAAUACUUUUUCGAUUAUGAUAUGCUUAAUUUGUUUACUCAAAAUUAUUUAGUUUAAUGCAGUUGAUGCAUAUUAUAUCCUGAUAA
RNAcentral lists this long non-coding RNA (2343 nucleotides) under Capsella rubella. RNAcentral describes it as "long non-coding RNA (CRUB_LNC004947)". The record is from RNAcentral. Lineage: Eukaryota; Viridiplantae; Streptophyta; Magnoliopsida; Brassicales; Brassicaceae.